RNAcentral lists this transfer RNA (67 nucleotides) under Timema californicum (California timema). RNAcentral describes it as "tRNA-Trp". The record is from RNAcentral. Lineage: Eukaryota; Metazoa; Arthropoda; Insecta; Phasmatodea; Timematidae.
AAAGUUUUAAGUUAAAUAAAACUAGUAACCUUCAAAGUUACUAAUAAAGUGUAAUCUUUAAGCUUUA